Molecule: ribosomal RNA, 614 nt
Filed under: uncultured bacterium
Lineage: Bacteria
Description: bacterial SSU rRNA
Rfam family: Bacterial small subunit ribosomal RNA
Source: RNAcentral
ACGCUUUUUACUUUAGCUUGCUAGAGUAGAAGGAGUUGCGAACGGGUGAGUAACGCGUAGGUAACCUACCUACUAGCGGGGGAUAACUAUUGGAAACGAUAGCUAAUACCGCAUAAGAGUGUUUAACACAUGUUAGAAGCUUGAAAGAUGCAAAUGCAUCACUAGUAGAUGGACCUGCGUUGUAUUAGCUAGUUGGUGGGGUAAUGGCUUACCAAGGCGACGAUACAUAGCCGACCUGAGAGGGUGAACGGCCACACUGGGACUGAGACACGGCCCAGACUCCUACGGGAGGCAGCAGUAGGGAAUCUUCGGCAAUGGGGGCAACCCUGACCGAGCAACGCCGCGUGAGUGAAGAAGGUUUUCGGAUCGUAAAGCUCUGUUGUAAGAGAAGAACGAGUGUGAGAGUGGAAAGUUCACACAGUGACGGUAACUUACCAGAAAGGGACGGCUAACUACGUGCCAGCAGCCGCGGUAAUACGUAGGUCCCGAGCGUUGUCCGGAUUUAUUGGGCGUAAAGCGAGCGCAGGCGGUUUAAUAAGUCUGAAGUUAAAGGCAGUGGCUUAACCAUUGUUCGCUUUGGAAACUGUUAAACUUGAGUGCAGAAGGGGAGAGUG